ACUCCUACGGGAGGCAGCAGUGGGAAUCUUAGACAAUGGGGGAAACCCUGAUCUAGCCAUGCUGCGUGCGUGAAGAAGGCCUUAGGGUUGUAAAGCGCUUUCACUGGUGAAGAUGAUGACGGUAGCCAGAGAAGAAGCCCCGGCUAACUCCGUGCCAGCAGCCGCGGUAAUACGGAGGGGCAAGCGUUGUUCGGAAUUAGCUGGGCGUAAAGGGCGCGUAGGCGGGAUGUCAAGUUAGGGGUGAAAGGCCUGGGCUCAACCUGAGGAACUGCCUCUAAAACUGAUAUUACUAGAGUCCGGGAGAGGAUGGCGGAAUUCCAGUGUAGAGGUGAAAUUCGUAGAUAUUGGGAAGAACACCGGUGGCGAAGGCGGCCAUCUGGUCCGGCACUGACGCUGAGGCGCGAAAGCGUGGGAGCAACAGGAUUAGAUACCCUGGUAGGCUCUG
This 445-nucleotide ribosomal RNA is filed under the name uncultured bacterium. RNAcentral's name for it is "bacterial SSU rRNA". It matches the Rfam family "Bacterial small subunit ribosomal RNA", at positions 335 to 799 of the family's 1533-position model. The record is from RNAcentral.